CGGUAAGGCCUUUCGGGGUACACGAGCGGCGAACGGGUGAGUAACACGUGGGUGAUCUGCCCUGCACUCUGGGAUAAGCCCGGGAAACUGGGUCUAAUACCGGAUAUGACUGCAUGCCGCAUGGUGUGUGGUGGAAAGCUUUAUGUGGUGCAGGAUGGGCCCGCGGCCUAUCAGCUUGUUGGUGGGGUAAUGGCCUACCAAGGCGACGACGGGUAGCCGACCUGAGAGGGUGACCGGCCACACUGGGACUGAGACACGGCCCAGACUCCUACGGGAGGCAGCAGUGGGGAAUAUUGCACAAUGGGCGGAAGCCUGAUGCAGCGACGCCGCGUGAGGGAUGAAGGCCUUCGGGUUGUAAACCUCUUUCAGCAGGGACGAAGCGUGAGUGACGG
Molecule: ribosomal RNA, 392 nt
Filed under: uncultured bacterium
Lineage: Bacteria
Description: bacterial SSU rRNA
Rfam family: Bacterial small subunit ribosomal RNA
Source: RNAcentral